This 672-nucleotide ribosomal RNA is filed under the name Pseudovibrio sp. RNAcentral's name for it is "bacterial SSU rRNA". It matches the Rfam family "Bacterial small subunit ribosomal RNA", at positions 26 to 743 of the family's 1533-position model. The record is from RNAcentral. Lineage: Bacteria; Pseudomonadati; Pseudomonadota; Alphaproteobacteria; Hyphomicrobiales; Stappiaceae.
AGAACGAACGCUGGCGGCAGGCCUAACACAUGCAAGUCGAACGGAUCCUUCGGGAUUAGUGGCAGACGGGUGAGUAACGCGUGGGAAGCUACCUUGUGGUAGGGAACAACAGUUGGAAACGACUGCUAAUACCCUAUGAGCCCUAUGGGGGAAAGAUUUAUCGCCAUGAGAUGUGCCCGCGUUAGAUUAGCUAGUUGGUAAGGUAAUGGCUUACCAAGGCGACGAUCUAUAGCUGGUCUGAGAGGAUGAUCAGCCACACUGGGACUGAGACACGGCCCAGACUCCUACGGGAGGCAGCAGUGGGGAAUAUUGGACAAUGGGGGCAACCCUGAUCCAGCCAUGCCGCGUGAGUGAUGACGGCCUUAGGGUUGUAAAGCUCUUUCAGCAGUGAAGAUAAUGACAUUAACUGCAGAAGAAGCCCCGGCUAACUUCGUGCCAGCAGCCGCGGUAAUACGAAGGGGGCUAGCGUUGUUCGGAAUCACUGGGCGUAAAGCGUACGUAGGCGGACUGAUCAGUCAGGGGUGAAAUCCCGGGGCUCAACCCCGGAACUGCCUUUGAUACUGUCAGUCUUGAGAUCGAGAGAGGUGAGUGGAACUCCGAGUGUAGAGGUGAAAUUCGUAGAUAUUCGGAAGAACACCAGUGGGCGAAGGCGGCUCACUGGCUCGAUACUGA